UACGUAGGUGGCAAGCGUUGUCCGGACUCAUUGGGCGUAAAGAGCUCGUAGGCGGCCACUCAAGUCGAAUGUGAAACCUCGAGGCUUAACCUCGAGCCUGCAUUCGAUACUGGGUGGCUAGAGUCUGGUAGGGGGAUCUGGAAUUCCUGGUGUAGCGGUGGAAUGCGCAGAUAUCAGGAGGAACACCGGUGGCGAAGGCGGGAUCCUGGGCCAGUACUGACGCUGAGGAGCGAAAGCGUGGGGAGCAAACAGG
Molecule: ribosomal RNA, 253 nt
Filed under: uncultured bacterium
Lineage: Bacteria
Description: partial 16S ribosomal RNA
Rfam family: Bacterial small subunit ribosomal RNA
Source: RNAcentral